This 253-nucleotide ribosomal RNA is filed under the name uncultured bacterium. RNAcentral's name for it is "partial 16S ribosomal RNA". It matches the Rfam family "Bacterial small subunit ribosomal RNA", at positions 524 to 776 of the family's 1533-position model. The record is from RNAcentral.
UACGGGGGGGGCAAGCGUUGUUCGGAAUUACUGGGCGUAAAGGGCGCGUAGGCGGCAUGGCAAGUCAGGAGUGAAAGGCCUGGGCUCAACCGAGGAACUGCUUUUGAUACUGCCAAGCUAGAGUGCGGAAGGGGCAACUGGAAUUCCCAGUGUAGCGGUGAAAUGCGUAGAUAUUGGGAGGAACACCAGUGGCGAAGGCGGCUCACUGGACCGGUACUGACGCUGAUGCGCGAAAGCGUGGGGAGCAAACGGG